GGGAAUGUGGCUUAGUGGUAGAGUACUUGCCUAGCAUGCAUGAAGCAACAGGUUCAAUUCUUCAGUACCA
RNAcentral lists this transfer RNA (70 nucleotides) under Dipodomys ordii (Ord's kangaroo rat). It matches the Rfam family "tRNA". Rfam says of the family: Transfer RNA (tRNA) molecules are approximately 80 nucleotides in length. Their secondary structure includes four short double-helical elements and three loops (D, anti-codon, and T loops). Lineage: Eukaryota; Metazoa; Chordata; Mammalia; Rodentia; Heteromyidae. The record is from Rfam by way of RNAcentral.